GGCGAACGGGUGAGUAACACGUGAGUAACCUGCCCUUGACUUUGGGAUAACUUCAGGAAACUGAGGCUAAUACCGGAUAGGAGCUCCUGCUGCAUGGUGGGGGUUGGAAAGUUUCGGCGGUUGGGGAUGGACUCGCGGCUUAUCAGCUUGCUGGUGGGGUAGUGGCUUACCAAGGCUUUGACGGGUAGCCGGCCUGAGAGGGUGACCGGCCACAUUGGGACUGAGAUACGGCCCAG
This 236-nucleotide ribosomal RNA is filed under the name uncultured Actinomycetales bacterium. Its description in RNAcentral is "partial 16S ribosomal RNA". It matches the Rfam family "Bacterial small subunit ribosomal RNA", at positions 97 to 334 of the family's 1533-position model. Lineage: Bacteria; Bacillati; Actinomycetota; Actinomycetes; Actinomycetales. The record is from RNAcentral.